This 872-nucleotide long non-coding RNA is filed under the name Gossypium barbadense (sea-island cotton). Its description in RNAcentral is "long non-coding RNA (GBAR_LNC015208)". Lineage: Eukaryota; Viridiplantae; Streptophyta; Magnoliopsida; Malvales; Malvaceae. The record is from RNAcentral.
UUAAUUUUAAAAAGUUACUGUAAGAGCCCAUUUUUGCCCGAGCCCAUACCAACAAAACAAACCCAAAUGAUAAAAAAAAGCAGUCCAUUUACAGAAAAUUUAAACCCAAAAUUACAAUGGCCCAAAAAGGCCCAAUAAGAAUUAAAACCCUAAAGCCCGAAUGGCCCAAAACCUAAACUAGUUUUCAGCCUUCAACAGCUUUCAGCUUCAGCCGCCGUUUUCCCACGGCCUCAUGUGCCCUACGAGCCACGCCUCCGCACGCCACGUCCACACCGCCACAUGUUGCGCGUACGUCGUACCUGCAAGAACGGCAAGCAAACAAAAAGAGCAGAAAUCGACAACAAAAAAAAGGAUUGAUUUCUUUUGAUUUAUUUUAUUUUCUUUUCUUUUUUUCAUUUUCGGCUAUAAAGGCCAAUUUAAGAAUCUGUAAACAGGGAUACUGUAUCAAAAAAUGAAAUCAAUACAAAAAUACAAAAAAAAUAAAAAAAAAAACAUACCGUUUUAGGUGAUUCCCCAAAUCCAUUUUUAUUUUCAAUUUUCUUUGAUUUUUUUUUUGGUAAAAAAAUAAAUAAAUAAAAAGGAGAGGGAAAGGGGACCUACCGGGAAUCUGUCGUCUUCUCGUCGGCUCAAAUCGCCGUUCGUGGCGGAGCCAUGGCGAAGGAGCGGCGGAUUCAGGCAGGGAGACGAGGGGUCGAAACCCCAAUGGAGGCAGAAGCAGCAAUUUUUUUUUAUGUACGGGCUGCAGUUGUUUAUUUUUCAGGUAAACUUUUGUUUAAAUAACAUUACAAUAAGAUGCCGUUUUGAGCUAGGGUUCCUAGUGUCAAAACGACGCCGUUUAGUGGCCAUGACCCGCGCAGUGACCUGACCCGGGG